Molecule: long non-coding RNA, 1352 nt
Filed under: Olea europaea subsp. europaea
Lineage: Eukaryota; Viridiplantae; Streptophyta; Magnoliopsida; Lamiales; Oleaceae
Source: RNAcentral
UUAAAAAGUUUCGAUUCAAUACACUUAAACCUUUAUAAAAAAUAAAAAAUAAAAUAAAAUAAAAUAAAAUCUGCAAAAAUCUUAAUUAAAUAUACCCCAUAAAGAAAUUUUUAUUGUAACACAAAGUGAGAGGUGUUCCACCCCUAUAGUAGAUUGGAUUAGAUUGAUAAACAGUUACGCCCUUGAACCUUUUCAUUUUCCUCCCAAAAACAAUACUAUAACUGCUACAUAUUCUCUCUGAGACACAUUAAAAUGGCGAUGCAAAAUUGGAUAAUCACAGUCCCAAUAUUUCUAUUUGCAGUAAUCAUGUUAUUGGGCACUUCAUUUUGUUUGCAAUAUAUUGUUGGAGAUUCAAUUUGGUCCAUUCCUCUAACAAAUAACUUUUACAGUAACUGGUCUUCUUCUUACACUUUUCGGACUGGAGAUGCUCUAUGUAUGUACUAAUUUCUCUUCUUUUUGUAGCUUAAAGUUAUUAGCCUUUUGAUCUUCUCAUUUCUUUCAUGGUUUCUUUCCAAAUGAAAAAAUGUAAGCAGGGUUAUCCAUUAUCCAAACUCAGUCUCAAAUUUAAAUUUCUAAGCCUUUACCAGUUCAAAACUUGGUUCUGAAAGGAGUAUUUUUUCCUAAAGAAAACUAAAAUCUAAUGCAGAUUUCGACUUUGAUUCACCAUUUUACAAUGUGAUUGAAGUUUCAAGAGGAGAAUUGGAGAGUUGCACUGCAAAUCAACCCUACAAGGCAUUCAUGGAGGGCCCAGCAACUGUUCUUCUUAUGCAGAAAGGGGUGUUUUAUUUCAUAUGCAAUGUCUCAAAUUACUGUGCAUUAGGCCUAAAGGUUAGUGUAACUGUUGAAGAGAAUUCUCCAAAUCUUGCACCAAAUUCCGAACCAUAGGCCUAAUAAACAAGAUUUUAACUUUUUUUUUCUUUUAAUCUUAUUUAGUUCGUAGCAUAUUAAUUUUGAGGUUUUAGUUUCAAUAUCGUGUUGAGUUGUUUUAUGAUUUUGUGAUAAUGAAAGGGUUAAAAAUCAUCGCUCGUCGUCAAACUCCUAAUGAAAUUAAUUGGAUUAUUAAUUAAUUUUGUAGACGUUGGAUUAAACUUUAUUACAAUAUUGGACUACUAGUAGCAUUAUCCUAAUUCAAAUUUAUUUAGCUCUUGUUUGAUGGAGAUUAAAAUCAGAUUUUUAAUAAAUUUUUAUAGCAGUUAAUCAAAUGUGUAGUUCAAAAUUAUGUAAUCCGUAAAAUAUGUAAUUAAAAUUGAUUGCUUUACCAAACUGGGGUUUAAUAAGAGAGAGACUAAAUUUUGUUGACCAUUCGUCUAAUAGAGUUGCUACAUUAGAUAUUGUCUAUUUUUAUUUUUUUU